This is a long non-coding RNA of Magallana angulata, 1301 nucleotides long. RefSeq lists it as uncharacterized. The record is from RefSeq and is a predicted model, not a curated record. The transcript is spliced from 3 exons. Lineage: Eukaryota; Metazoa; Mollusca; Bivalvia; Ostreida; Ostreidae.
ACAGCUCACAAUUCUUUAAUGUUAAACUCCACAUGGCGCAUGACAAAUACCUCCCUCUAUUAUAAACUGGUCUACCAGCACACUUGCUGAGUGUCAUCGUGAGCGUACCAUAUGGAAAGUAUGGUCAGUUUUGUUGUAACCGUGGCUGUGACUUUGUUUUUGUUGUUGAUACCUGUUUGUACCACGACACAGGGAGUAGGAACUUCUGGUGUCCUUCCCAUCGAAGGUGGAAAAGAUGUUUACAGACACGAAUAUGCUAGUAUUAGUUUUUCUGUUAUGCUGAGCGACAUCCUUUGUAGCCUGUGUGACUCCAUUCAAAGCAAGAAACAGAAAAGACGCUGUAAACGGCAGAACUGUAUCUCUACCAGAGACUUGGUAGAGAAUGGAAAAAAAUAACUCAUUCAGUUGCAAAUUUAUGAAUAAAUUAAGUCAAGGUUCUGCAUACAACUCAUUCAUUGGACAGACACACAUGCAAUUCAAUCAAGAUAUAAUCAUGGUGCUGAUUGCUGAGGCAAAAAGACACCCCUUACAUGUUUUGUCUAAUUUUAUAUCAUCGUAACUGUUUUUAUAUUUCUAUUUGUCAUGUCUGAUCUUUUUACGGAGAAAAAUAGCCAUACUAUAAUGCAUUGAAGCAAAUCUGUGUCAUCAUUUCGUAAUUUAUAUAUUUCAAACCAAAUAACGGGCUUAAACAGCUCACAAUUCUCUAAUGUUAAACUCCACAUGGCGCAUGACAAAUACCUCCCUCUAUUAUAAACUGGUCUACCAGCACACUUGCUGAGUGUCAUCGUGAGCGUACCAUAUGGAAAGUAUGGUCAGUUUUGUUGUAACCGUGGCUGUGACUUUGUUUUUGUUGCUGAUUCCUGUUUGUACCACGACACAUGGAGUAGGAACUUUUGGUGUCCUUCCCAACGAAGAUGGAAGUGGUGUUCGUGGAUAUUCAUCUAGUUUGUCUGUUAUAUUAGGCGACAUGCUUUGUAGACUGUGUGACUCCAUUCAAAACGAGAGACAGAAAAGACGCUGUAAGCGGCAAAACUGUAUCUUUACCAGAUACUGGGGACUAUUAGUAGAUUCGGGGCGGCGAAUUUGAUCUUUUGACUUGAAAUGGAGAUAUCAAACGAUGUGUCCAGUUAUUCUAUAAUUAAAUAAAUCGUAUUGUCACUUAUAUGCUAACAUUAUCUGUACUAUGAGAAGCAAAGCAAAUGUACUUAAUAUUUGUGUAUGUAGUACGACAUAAAAUAUGUAUCAAGAUAACGCAACUCGCAAUCAUGUGGAUGUAUUUAAGGAAUAAGGGAUCAUUCUUG